RNAcentral lists this ribosomal RNA (376 nucleotides) under uncultured bacterium. Its description in RNAcentral is "bacterial SSU rRNA". It matches the Rfam family "Bacterial small subunit ribosomal RNA", at positions 521 to 896 of the family's 1533-position model. The record is from RNAcentral.
UAAUACAGAGGGUGCAAGCGUUAAUCGGAAUUACUGGGCGUAAAGGGUGCGUAGGCGGUUAUAUAAGUUAGAUGUGAAAUCCCUAGGCUUAACCUGGGAACUGCGUUUAAUACUGUAUAGCUAGAGUACUGAAGAGGUUAGUGGAAUUUCCAGUGUAGCGGUGAAAUGCGUAGAUAUUGGAAGGAACACCAGUGGCGAAGGCGACUAACUGGUCAGAUACUGACGCUGAGGCACGAAAGCGUGGGGAGCAAACAGGAUUAGAUACCCUGGUAGUCCACGCCGUAAACGAUGAGAACUUGCUGUUGGGCACGUUUAGUGCAAAGUAGCGAAGCUAACGCGAUAAGUUCUCCGCCUGGGGAGUACGGCCGCAAGGUUA